GCCGCCGUGCGCUAAUGGUCAGGCGACCUGGCCCUCAACCAGGCGAUCUGGGUUCGACUCCCAGCGGCGGUACCA
Molecule: transfer RNA, 75 nt
Filed under: Planctomycetota bacterium
Lineage: Bacteria; Pseudomonadati; Planctomycetota
Description: tRNA-Glu
Rfam family: tRNA
About the family: Transfer RNA (tRNA) molecules are approximately 80 nucleotides in length. Their secondary structure includes four short double-helical elements and three loops (D, anti-codon, and T loops).
Source: RNAcentral